Molecule: ribosomal RNA, 483 nt
Filed under: uncultured bacterium
Lineage: Bacteria
Description: partial 16S ribosomal RNA
Rfam family: Bacterial small subunit ribosomal RNA
Source: RNAcentral
AUUGAACGCUGGCGGCAGGCCUAACACAUGCAAGUCGAGCGGAUGAAGGGAGCUUGCUCCUGGAUUCAGCGGCGGACGGGUGAGUAAUGCCUAGGAAUCUGCCUGGUAGUGGGGGAUAACGUCCGGAAACGGGCGCUAAUACCGCAUACGUCCUGAGGGAGAAAGUGGGGGAUCUUCGGACCUCACGCUAUCAGAUGAGCCUAGGUCGGAUUAGCUAGUUGGUGGGGUAAAGGCCUACCAAGGCGACGAUCCGUAACUGGUCUGAGAGGAUGAUCAGUCACACUGGAACUGAGACACGGUCCAGACUCCUACGGGAGGCAGCAGUGGGGAAUAUUGGACAAUGGGCGAAAGCCUGAUCCAGCCAUGCCGUGUGUGCGAAGAAGGUCUUCGGAUUGUAAAGCACUUUAAGUUGGGAGGAAGGGCAGUAAGUUAAUACCUUGCUGUUUUGACGUUACCAACAGAAUAAGCACCGGCUAACUUCGU